RNA transcript from Vigna unguiculata (cowpea), 2888 nucleotides. It is a transcript of the gene named cation/H(+) antiporter 19-like, with no coding region annotated. Lineage: Eukaryota; Viridiplantae; Streptophyta; Magnoliopsida; Fabales; Fabaceae. The record is from RefSeq and is a predicted model, not a curated record.
GAGCACGACAUAGCCCAACUCCAAGAUGAUUGAAGACUGAUGAACAACAUAGGAAAACCCAAGUAGUUGUUCCUGUGAGUUUGUUUUUGUUGUGAAAAGCGACAUCGUUUAGUUUGAGAGAAAAGCACGAUGGAGAGGGGUAAGAACGCGUCAUGUCCGGCACCGAUGAGGGCGGAGUCGAACGGAGGGUUCCAACAUGAAAACCCUAUGGAUUAUGCGCUUCCUCUGUUAAUACUCCAGAUAUGUUUGGUCGUUGCUUUUACUAGAUUUCUUGCAUUCCUCUUCAGACCACUCAGACAACCCAGAGUCAUUGCUGAAAUCAUCGGAGGAAUACUACUUGGGCCAUCAGCAAUUGGACGAAACGAGAAGUUUUUGAAUGCGGUUUUUCCAGAGAAAAGCAUCACAGUUCUUGAAACACUGGCCAACAUAGGUCUUCUGUUCUUUUUGUUUCUCGUGGGGCUUGAGCUUGACAUGCGUGCAAUUCGACGAACUGGUCGUAAGGCCCUUGGCAUUGCCAUCUGUGGGAUCAUUAUCCCUUUUCUUCUCGGAAUUGCCACUUCCAUUGCUCUUCGAGCCACUAUAUCCAAAGGUGCUGACCUCUUUCCUUUUAUACUCUUCAUGGGUGUUGCUCUCUCCAUCACCGCCUUCCCUGUCCUCGCCAGGAUCCUGGCUGAGCUUAAACUCCUCACCACUGACGUUGGUCGCAUUGCAAUGUCUGCUGCUGCUGUCAAUGAUGUUGCAGCUUGGAUUCUUCUUGCUCUUGCCAUAGCCCUCUCUGCUUCAGAUGCAUCCCCGUUUGUUCCUCUUUGGGUAUUGCUCUGUGGUGUUGCUUUUGUCAUCUUUGUUGUCUUUGCCAUUAGGCCCUUGCUUGUGGCUAUGGCUAACCGUUCCCUGGAGGGUGAGCCGGUGAAGGAGGUGUACAUAUGCAUCACAUUGACUCUGGUUUUGGUCUGUAGUUUUGUCACUGAUACUAUUGGAAUCCAUUCCCUCUUUGGGGCUUUUGCGGUUGGUACUAUUAUACCCAAAGAAGGUUCCUUCUCUAGGGUGUUGACUGAGAGGAUAGAAGACCUGGUUUCUGGCCUUUUCAUGCCACUGUAUUUUGUCUCCAGUGGCUUGAAGACCGAUGUGGCAACAAUUAAUGGAGGUCUUUCUUGGGCAAUGCUAAUGCUUGUUAUAUUCAAUGCUUGCUUCGGGAAGAUUAUUGGUACUACUGUUGUUUCCUUAUUGUGUAAGGUGCCUUCCACAGAAGCCCUGGCUCUUGGAUUCCUCAUGAACACAAAAGGCUUGGUAGAACUCAUUGUUCUCAACAUUGGGAAGGACCGUAAGGUGUUGAAUGACCAAGCAUUUGCCAUUUGUGUUGUCAUGGCAUUGUUUUCUACCUUCAUCUCCACCCCAAUGGUGAUGGUUGUAUAUAAACCAGCUCGUAGAGGAGCACCUUACAAGCGCAAAACAAUUCAACGAGAUCCCGACACCGAGCUUCGAAUGCUAGCUUGCUUCCACAACACCCACAACAUUCCCUCGCUAAUCAAUCUAAUAGAGUGUUCCCGUGGAACCGGAAGAAAAGGAAAGCUUUGUAUAUACACAAUGCAUUUGAUGGAGCUCUCAGAGCGAUCUUCGGCAAUCACAAUGGUUCACAUGGCACGCAAGAACGGGAUGCCCUUUUGGAACAAAAAGCGGAAUGGCAAAGAUCAAAUGAUCAUAGCUUUUCAGGAUUAUGAGAAACUGAGUGGUGUCAGUGUCCGCCCCAUGACAGUCAUUUCUGGUCUGAAUAGCAUCCAUGAGGAUAUCUGUACUACUGCUCACAGAAAGCGUGCAGCCAUGAUCAUCCUUCCAUUCCACAAACAGCAACGUGUGGAUGGAACGAUGGAGUCAGUGGGACAUUCAUUCCAAGAGAUGAAUCAACUUGUGCUAUGCCAUGCUCCUUGCUCGGUGGGGAUUUUUGUUGAUCGAGGUCUUGGAGGGACAAGCCAAGUUCAAGCUAGUGAUGUGUCUUAUGAGAUAGUGGUACCUUUCUUUGGAGGGCAUGAUGAUCGUGAAGCCCUUUGUUAUGGAAUGAGAAUGGGUGAGCACCCUGGAAUUUUUGUAAAUGUGUAUAAGUUUGUAACUCCAGCAGGGACAUCAUUGGUUGGGGAGUCAUCAAACAAAAAUACGAAAGCAAUGGAUGUGAUUGACGGCAACGAUUAUGAUGAUAAGAAAGAGGAUGAUGAAUUGUGGAACGAGUUUUUAAGUGCAUGCAACAGGAGCAGCCAAGAGACAAUGAAGUAUGAGGAAAAGGUAGUAGAAAGCAAAGGAGAUAUUGAGAUAGCAUUGAAGGAAAUGAAUAGAUGCAACCUUAUAGUGGUUGGUAGAAUGCCAUCAGUGGCAGCUUUGGGUAGCAUAAGUGAUUGUCCAGAGCUUGGACCUGUGGGAAGCUUUGUUGCUUCUUCAGAUUUUUCCACCGUUACGUCUGUUAUGGUAAUUCAGCAGUACAAUCCAUCAACUGACAUUCAUCCGUUUGUGAGGGAGGAAUCUGAUUUACCAGAUAUUGCAGAUGCGCCAAGGGGUUAAUAUGCAAAAGUAACAAAAUCGUGGUUUUGGAGUAUUCGGCAGGACAGAAAAAAAAAUGGGCAUUAGAUGGGCUUGGGCUUUGCAUAGGUGGAUUAUCAUGGGCCGGAGGCGAGGAAGGAUGGGACAGUGACAAGAGGAAAAUGGCUAUGUUAAUGUCCAGAAAUUCACUUAUGCUGAACCCGUCGGAGUUUCCUAUACAUUACGUUAGUUAAGAUAUAGAUAGAAAUUGAAAACUAUGAAUAUGAUAAUUAUGUUAAGUUAUUUGAAAACAUAUCUAUUUAUGUGACAACUUCACUUAAUGUAUUUGGUUAAUUUAAUUCAAAUUUUAAGUUAAAUUAAAA